AAAUUGAAGAGUUUGAUCAUGGCUCAGAUUGAACGCUGGCGGCAGGCCUAACACAUGCAAGUCGAACGGUAGCACAGAGAGCUUGCUCUCGGGUGACGAGUGGCGGACGGGUGAGUAAUGUCUGGGAAACUGCCUGAUGGAGGGGGAUAACUACUGGAAACGGUGGCUAAUACCGCAUAACGUCGCAAGACCAAAGAGGGGGACCUUCGGGCCUCUUGCCAUCAGAUGUGCCCAGAUGGGAUUAGCUGGUUGGUGAGGUAACGGCUCACCAAGGCGACGAUCCCUAGCUGGUCUGAGAGGAUGACCAGCCACACUGGAAC
Molecule: ribosomal RNA, 320 nt
Filed under: Salmonella enterica subsp. enterica serovar Agona
Lineage: Bacteria; Pseudomonadati; Pseudomonadota; Gammaproteobacteria; Enterobacterales; Enterobacteriaceae
Description: bacterial SSU rRNA
Rfam family: Bacterial small subunit ribosomal RNA
Source: RNAcentral